AAGAGGAACAACCACAGUGGCGGCGGCCAGCUCUGGAGCCCUGGAUUCAGCUCCCGCAGGAACUACAGAGCUCUCUGUCUGCAGGGCCUGGAGGCUCCGGGGCCGG
RNAcentral lists this microRNA precursor (106 nucleotides) under Canis lupus familiaris (dog). RNAcentral's name for it is "mir-8834 microRNA precursor family". It matches the Rfam family "mir-8834 microRNA precursor family". The record is from Rfam by way of RNAcentral. RNAcentral also lists the same sequence under 1 other name. Lineage: Eukaryota; Metazoa; Chordata; Mammalia; Carnivora; Canidae.